CUGGAAAGGCCGACGAUACAGGGUGAUAGUCCCGUAGUUGACGACGUGUGUUCAGUGAAAUCGAGUAGGGCGGGACACGUGAUAUCCUGUCUGAAUAUGGGGGGACCAUCCUCCAAGGCUAAAUACUACUGACUGACCGAUAGUGAACCAGUACCGUGAGGGAAAGGCGAAAAGAACCCCUGUGAGGGGAGUGAAAUAGAACCUGAAACCGUGUACGUACAAGCAGUAGGAGCAGGCUUGUCCUGUGACUGCGUACCUUUUGUAUAAUGGGUCAGCGACUUAUAUUCAGUGGCAAGGUUAACCAUCUAGGGGAGCCGUAGGGAAACCGAGUCUUAACUGGGCGUUCAGUCUCUGGAUAUAGACCCGAAACCAGGUGAUCUAGCCAUGGGCAGGUUGAAGGUUGAGUAACAUCAACUGGAGGACCGAACCGACUAAUGUUGAAAAAUUAGCGGAUGACUUGUGGCUAGGGGUGAAAGGCCAAUCAAACCUGGAGAUAGCUGGUUCUCCCCGAAAGCUAUUUAGGUAGCGCCUCGGACGAAUACUACUGGGGGUAGAGCACUGUUAAGGCUAGGGGGUCAUCCCGACUUACCAACCCUUUGCAAACUCCGAAUACCAGUAAGUACUAUCCGGGAGACACACGGCGGGUGCUAACGUCCGUCGUGGAGAGGGAAACAACCCAGACCGCCAGCUAAGGUCCCAAAUUACUACUAAGUGGGAAACGAUGUGGGAAGGCUCAGACAGCCAGGAUGUUGGCUUAGAAGCAGCCAUCAUUUAAAGAAAGCGUAAUAGCUCACUGGUCGAGUCGGCCUGCGCGGAAGAUGUAACGGGGCUAAGUAGUAAACCGAAGCUGCGGCAAUGCACUUU
Molecule: ribosomal RNA, 864 nt
Filed under: Vibrio sp. 2-1(7)
Lineage: Bacteria; Pseudomonadati; Pseudomonadota; Gammaproteobacteria; Vibrionales; Vibrionaceae
Description: partial 23S ribosomal RNA
Rfam family: Bacterial large subunit ribosomal RNA
Source: RNAcentral